RNAcentral lists this ribosomal RNA (654 nucleotides) under uncultured archaeon. Its description in RNAcentral is "bacterial SSU rRNA". It matches the Rfam family "Archaeal small subunit ribosomal RNA", at positions 508 to 1160 of the family's 1478-position model. The record is from RNAcentral.
GCCUAAAGCGUCCGUAGCCGGCUAUGUUAGUUUUCGGUUAAAUCCAUAUGCUCAACACAUGGGCUGUCGAAAAUACUGCAUAGCUAGGGAGUGGGAGAGGUAGACGGUACUCUGUAGGAAGGGGUAAAAUCCUUUGAUCUAUAGAUGACCACCAGUGGCGAAGGCGGUCUACCAGAACAUGUCCGACGGUGAGGGAUGAAAGCUGGGGGAGCAAACCGGAUUAGAUACCCGGGUAGUCCCAGCUGUAAACUAUGCAAACUCAGUGAUGCAUUGGCUUGUGGCCAGUGCAGUGCCGCAGAGAAGUCGUUAAGUUUGCCGCCUGGGAAGUACGUACGCAAGUAUGAAACUUAAAGGAAUUGGCGGGGGAGCACCACAAGGGGUGAAGCCUGCGGUUUAAUUGGAGUCAACGCCAGAAAUCUUACCCGGAGAGACAGCAGAAUGAAGGUCAAGCUGAAGACUUUACCAGACAAGCUGAGAAGUGGUGCAUGGCCGUCGCCAGCUCGUGCCGUGAGGUGUCCUGUUAAGUCAGGUAACGAGCGAGAUCCCUGCCUCUAGUUGCCACCAUUACUCUCAGGAGUAGUGGGGCGAAUUAGCGGGACUGCCGCAGUUAAUGCGGAGGAAGGAGGGGGCCACGGCAGGUCAGUAUGCCCCGAA